GUCAGAGACCAAGUGGUAAGGCAUUGGUCUUGUAAACCAAAGAUCAUGGGUUCAAUCCCCAUCUGUGACU
This 70-nucleotide transfer RNA is filed under the name Pelobates cultripes (western spadefoot toad). RNAcentral describes it as "tRNA.Thr". It matches the Rfam family "tRNA". Rfam says of the family: Transfer RNA (tRNA) molecules are approximately 80 nucleotides in length. Lineage: Eukaryota; Metazoa; Chordata; Amphibia; Anura; Pelobatidae. The record is from RNAcentral.